This 900-nucleotide ribosomal RNA is filed under the name Linospora capreae. RNAcentral describes it as "LSU rRNA". It matches the Rfam family "Eukaryotic large subunit ribosomal RNA", at positions 38 to 966 of the family's 3401-position model. Lineage: Eukaryota; Fungi; Ascomycota; Sordariomycetes; Diaporthales; Gnomoniaceae. The record is from RNAcentral.
GCAUAUCAAUAAUGCGAGGGGAAAAAGAAACCAACAGGGAUUGCCCUAGUAACGGCGAGUGAAGCGGCAACAGCUCAAAUUUGAAAUCUGGCUUCGGCCCGAGUUGUAAUUUGCAGAGGAUGUUUAUGGUGCGGUACCUACCGAGUUCCCUGGAACGGGACGCCACAGAGGGUGAGAGCCCCGUCUGGUAGGAUACCAAACCUGUGUUAAACUCCUUCAACGAGUCGAGUAGUUUGGGAAUGCUGCUCUAAAUGGGAGGUAAAUCUCUUCUAAAGCUAAAUAUUGGCCAGAGACCGAUAGCGCACAAGUAGAGUGAUCGAAAGAUGAAAAGCACCUUGAAAAGGGGGUUAAACAGUACGUGAAAUUGUUGAAAGGGAAGCGUUUAUGACCAGACUUGUGCCGUGUGGCUCAUCCGAGGUUCUCCCCGGUGCACUCCACACGGCUCAGGCCAACAUCGGUUCUCGUUGGGGGAUAAGAACAGUAGGAACGUGGCCCUCUUCGGGGGGUGUUAUAGCCUAUUGUACGAUACUCUGACGGGGACCGAGGACCGCGCUUCGGCUAGGAUGUUGGCGUAAUGGUCAUUAGCGACCCGUCUUGAAACACGGACCAAGGAGUCGUCCAUUAGAGCGAGCGUUUGGGUGUAAAACCCGCACGCGUAAUGAAAGUAAAAUAGGUGAGAGCUUCGGCGCAUCAUCGACCGAUCCUGAAGUUUACGGAUGGAUUUGAGUAAGAGUUUUAACGGACGGACCCGAAAGACAGUGAACUAUGCUUGAAUAGGGUGAAGCCAGAGGAAACUCUGGUGGAGGCUCGCAGCGGUUCUGACGUGCAAAUCGAUCGUCAAAUUUGAGCAUGGGGGGCGAAAGACUAAUCGAACUGUCUAGUAGCUGGUUACCGCCGAAG